Molecule: ribosomal RNA, 301 nt
Filed under: uncultured bacterium
Lineage: Bacteria
Description: partial 16S ribosomal RNA
Rfam family: Bacterial small subunit ribosomal RNA
Source: RNAcentral
CAGUCGCCGCGGGAAUACAGAGGGUGCGAGCGUUAAUCGGAUUUACUGGGCGUAAAGCGUGCGUAGGCGGCUUUUUAAGUCGGAUGUGAAAUCCCUGAGCUUAACUUAGGAAUUGCAUUCGAUACUGGGAAGCUAGAGUAUGGGAGAGGAUGGUAGAAUUCCAGGUGUAGCGGUGAAAUGCGUAGAGAUCUGGAGGAAUACCGAUGGCGAAGGCAGCCAUCUGGCCUAAUACUGACGCUGAGGUACGAAAGCAUGGGGAGCAAACAGGAUUAGAGACCCGCGUAGUCCCUGUCUCUUAUAC